Drosophila obscura is the source of this 242-nucleotide long non-coding RNA. RefSeq lists it as uncharacterized. The record is from RefSeq and is a predicted model, not a curated record. NCBI's taxonomy places the organism in Eukaryota, Metazoa, Arthropoda, Insecta, Diptera, Drosophilidae. The transcript has 2 exons.
AAUCUCCAUUUCUUCAUAUUCGCUACUGAACUUACUGUGAUUAUCAGAUUUUCUUUUAGAAGUUAAUCUUGAUUUUUCGCUUUAGCAUAGUUUGAAUCUGAGGCCAGGAGUUUCUCCUUGGCCAGGGAGGCCAUCUUGUGUUUUGACUGUUCACCUUCUAGGUUUGAUUCUGACUGUCCUUCUCGUUUAAUUUGUUUUAAUCAUGAAAUAGAAAUGCAAUCGAAGCGUUUUUUAAAACUGUG